CGUCCCGCCGGCGACCGGCGCACGGGUGAGUAACACGUAUGCAACCUGGCCGCCACAGGGGGAUAACCCGCGGAAACGCGGCCUAAUACCCCGUGACGCCACCGGAGGGCAUCCUCCGGGUGGCCAAAGGAGCGAUCCGGUGGCGGAUGGGCAUGCGGCGCAUUAGCUAGACGGCGGGGUGACGGCCCACCGUGGCGACGAUGCGUAGGGGUUCUGAGAGGAAGGCCCCCCACACUGGGACUGAGACACGGCCCAGACUCCUACGGGAGGCAGCAG
Molecule: ribosomal RNA, 276 nt
Filed under: uncultured bacterium
Lineage: Bacteria
Description: partial 16S ribosomal RNA
Rfam family: Bacterial small subunit ribosomal RNA
Source: RNAcentral